Non-coding RNA from Capsicum annuum, 107 nucleotides. NCBI's taxonomy places the organism in Eukaryota, Viridiplantae, Streptophyta, Magnoliopsida, Solanales, Solanaceae. The record is from Rfam.
UAAUGAUGGUGAGGGAAAUUUUUAAGCAUACUCUUAAAUCUCUUCCAAGCUUGGUAGAGAUUCUCUCCUUCCUUCUAUUUAAAACUCAAAAUCUCAUUUCUCAAACG